This 301-nucleotide ribosomal RNA is filed under the name uncultured bacterium. Its description in RNAcentral is "partial 16S ribosomal RNA". It matches the Rfam family "Bacterial small subunit ribosomal RNA", at positions 509 to 807 of the family's 1533-position model. The record is from RNAcentral.
CAGUAGCCACGGGAACACGAAGGGUGCAAGCGUUACUCGGAAUUACUGGGCGUAAAGCGUGCGUAGGUGGUGGUUUAAGUCCGUUGUGAAAGCCCUGGGCUCAACCUGGGAAUUGCAGUGGAUACUGGGUCACUAGAGUGUGGUAGAGGAUAGUGGAAUUUCCGGUGUAGCAGUGAAAUGCGUAGAGAUCGGAAGGAACAUCUGUGGCGAAGGCGACUAUCUGGGCCAACACUGACACUGAGGCACGAAAGCGUGGGGAGCAAACAGGAUUAGAUACCCCAGUAGUCCCUGUCUCUUAUAC